GAUGAACGCUGGCGGCGUGCCUAAUACAUGCAAGUCGAGCGAACGGACGAGAAGCUUGCUUCUCUGAUGUUAGCGGCGGACGGGUGAGUAACACGUGGAUAACCUACCUAUAAGACUGGGAUAACUUCGGGAAACCGGAGCUAAUACCGGAUAAUAUUUUGAACCGCAUGGUUCAAAAGUGAAAGACGGUCUUGCUGUCACUUAUAGAUGGAUCCGCGCUGCAUUAGCUAGUUGGUAAGGUAACGGCUUACCAAGGCAACGAUGCAUAGCCGACCUGAGAGGGUGAUCGGCCACACGGUAACUGAGACACGGUCCAGACUCCUACGGGAGGCAGCAGUAGGGAAUCUUCCGCAAUGGGCGAAAGCCUGACGGAGCAACGCCGCGUGAGUGAUGAAGGUCUUCGGAUCGUAAAACUCUGUUAUUAGGGAAGAACAUAUGUGUAAGUAACUGUGAACAUCUUGACGGUACCUAAUCAGAAAGCCACGGCUAACUACGUG
This 497-nucleotide ribosomal RNA is filed under the name uncultured bacterium. RNAcentral describes it as "partial 16S ribosomal RNA". It matches the Rfam family "Bacterial small subunit ribosomal RNA", at positions 28 to 507 of the family's 1533-position model. The record is from RNAcentral.